CUACUGCGAAGUGAAUACAAUUCGCAUUACUGAAGGUUGCUGGUACACACAUGACAGAUCGUGAAAAAAUAUGUGCUCUUGUGUAUGAUGAAAUGUCUGUUCAAUCCUCCAUCGAGUACGACAAAAAGAACGAUGCAAUUAUUGGCCCGCAUUCUGAAAUGCAAGUCGUUAUUGUUAGAGGGCUUUUUUCUCAGUGGAAACAGCCCAUUUUCGUUGAUUUCGACACCAAAAUGACCAAGCAACUUUUGGACGAUCUGAUCACACGCCUCUAUGACAUAGGAUUCUCUGUGAUGGCCAAUGUACAUGAUUGUGGAUCAGGCAAUCGUGGUGUAUGGCGAGAUCACGGAGUCAAUUACGAGACUAAACAAACUUCAAUGAAGCAUCCAUGUACUGGAAAAGACAUCUUCUUCUUUCCAGAUGCCCCACACCUCUUGAAGCUUUUCCGAAACUGGCUUUUGGAUACCGGAUUCUUAUACGAAGGUAGAUUAGUCACAAAAAAGUUUUUGGAGCUCUUAGUGAAUAAAGCGACAACAGAGAAAAAAAUCUGACCGAUAGUGGUCAAGACGCUUCUGUCGAAUUAAAUUCGUUGUUCAAGCUGACUUCCAAGCAUUUGACAUGUCGUGGACCUGAGCGUCAAAACGUGAGAUUAGCUGCUGAGUUGAUCAGUAACACCACGGCUGUGAAUUUGAGAAGACACUACGGACAAUAUGAAGAAGCCUGCUUGCUGGCUAAAAUCAUUCAAAUUGUGAACGAUUGGUUUGACACGAUGAAUUCAUAUUCACUAAACCAGUAUAUUCUCUCGAAAAAAUGUUAUGGUGUGGAACUCGAAAAACAAAAUCAGAUUCUUGACCAAAUGGAAACUAUGAUCACAGAGAUUCGAGUGCUUACAGCACAUUGUCUGCCAGCUCAAACCGGACACAAGUUGUUCCAACAAGCGAUACUCAUUUCCAUCCAGUCUACAAAAAACCUGUUGACAGAGAUUCGAAAACUCCCCGGUUUGGAGCAAGGAUUUCUGAUGAUGUAUAAGGUUAACCAGGAUUGCGCAGAGAAUGAGUUUGCGGUGAUUCGACUAAACGGUGGUACUCAUGACCAUCCAACCCUCUUCAAGCUCUCGAACGUCUCAGAUUGAUGAUACUUGGCGAAGGAUUGUCAAAGCAGUUGAAAGUUAACCAAAAUACGCGGUCUGUUUUGGUGAAGGAAGCCAAUCCUAUAUCUAACGUUUUCCACAAAGCCAACCUUAACCUAAAGAAUAGAAAAAAUCACAAGAAGGUUGUAUGCAAAGCCACGACCGCAAGGUUGAAGUAGAAUACUUUUACAAGAAAGAUAACCUGGCUGCUUGCGUGUCAGUCAUUUUUUCUAGUAAAUAAACGUUGACCGUUCAUUGGCAGUAUUGUAAUUUCUUUUUGUCUGAUAUUUUGAAUAAAGUUCAUUGGAUAUUUUUAA
Molecule: long non-coding RNA, 1443 nt
Organism: Wyeomyia smithii (pitcher-plant mosquito)
Lineage: Eukaryota; Metazoa; Arthropoda; Insecta; Diptera; Culicidae
Exons: 3
Source: RefSeq, a predicted model, not a curated record